CGACGCGAAGGCGCGUUGCUUGUCUGUACGAAGGCGCGUUGCUUGUUGGCGUGAGAGCGCGAAGGCGCGUUGCUUGUCUGCGCGAAGGUGCGUUGCUUGUUGGCGUGACGGCGUGUUGUGACUAACGCGCAGUCACGCUUUUGCAAAUGGCCCUAUCCGGACUCCGUCUCCGAGUCCUACAACUCUAUACUACGUACGGCCUAAUCUGGAUACCACCUCUGGUGUAUUGUCGCAGAUGAAAUCUUAACAACACACCUGAUCCCACCUCUAGCCUCUGGAAGAAUUAGCAAGUGGUGAAGAUACAGCAAAGUGUCCAAGUUGCUCUCUCUUGAUUAGAGUUAUUUAUGAUAUUGAUGAUUUUCUAGAAGGUGAAGAAGUUGCUGCUCCUUCAAAAAUAAAGUUAGAAAAA
Ostrea edulis (European flat oyster) is the source of this 409-nucleotide long non-coding RNA. RefSeq lists it as uncharacterized. The record is from RefSeq and is a predicted model, not a curated record. Lineage: Eukaryota; Metazoa; Mollusca; Bivalvia; Ostreida; Ostreidae. The transcript has 4 exons.